RNAcentral lists this ribosomal RNA (490 nucleotides) under uncultured bacterium. RNAcentral's name for it is "partial 16S ribosomal RNA". It matches the Rfam family "Bacterial small subunit ribosomal RNA", at positions 30 to 507 of the family's 1533-position model. The record is from RNAcentral.
AUUGAACGCUGGCGGCAGGCCUAACACAUGCAAGUCGAACGGUAACAGGAAGAAGCUUGCUUCUUUGCUGACGAGUGGCGGACGGGUGAGUAAUGUCUGGGCAACUGCCUGAUGGAGGGGGAUAACUACUGGAAACGGUAGCUAAUACCGCAUAACGUCGCAAGACCAAAGAGGGGGACCUUCGGGCCUCUUGCCAUCGGAUGUGCCCAGGUGGGAUUAGCUAGUAGGUGGGGUAACGGCUCACCUAGGCGACGAUCCCUAGCUGGUCUGAGAGGAUGACCAGCCACACUGGAACUGAGACACGGUCCAGACUCCUACGGGAGGCAGCAGUGGGGAAUAUUGCACAAUGGGCGCAAGCCUGAUGCAGCCAUGCCGCGUGUAUGAAGAAGGCCUUCGGGUUGUAAAGUACUUUCAGCGGGGAGGAAGGGAGUAAAGUUAAUACCUUGGCUGAUUGACGUUACCCGCAGAAGAAGCACCGGCUAACUCCGUG